Molecule: non-coding RNA, 77 nt
Organism: Trichonephila clavipes
Lineage: Eukaryota; Metazoa; Arthropoda; Arachnida; Araneae; Nephilidae
Source: the annotation of a GenBank genome assembly
GUCAGGAUGGCCGUAAGGCGCCAGAUUUAAGCUCUGGUUCUCGAAAGAGAGCGUGGGUUCGAACCCCACUCCUGACA